CCAUCAGUUAGUUUGAUACUCCUAGAGGUGAAUCUCUUGGGCGAUUCUAAAAGUUGACAAUGGAAAGCAACUAUCGGACGUGGUUAUCUCAGCAUUGGAAGCAGAAUUUAUUGAUCUCAUUUGAGUGAAGGAUGGAUAGAGAGCCCAGAGGCACAGAAGCUGCUGGUACCAGAGUUGUUCUGACUCCAGAGCAAUGCUGUAAGUGCCACCAUCUACAGUUUCCCUUGGUAAAUUAAGGAAGGCUGGCUAACUUCUGGGGAAAUUACCAGAGCCCCUGCAAGCAAAUGGUGUGGCAGGGCCUCUGAAGGAUGGUGUGUUUUGUGGACAGCAGAGGAAUACCUUUUAUGAUAUUUUAUUAUCUUCACAUUCACCUUAGAUGGUACCGUGAGCAUCUGAGUUUUCAAUAAAAGUCUGUUGAGCACGCA
RNAcentral lists this long non-coding RNA (425 nucleotides) under Rattus norvegicus (Norway rat). RNAcentral's name for it is "long non-coding RNA NONRATT027414". The record is from RNAcentral. Lineage: Eukaryota; Metazoa; Chordata; Mammalia; Rodentia; Muridae.